Molecule: ribosomal RNA, 506 nt
Filed under: uncultured bacterium
Lineage: Bacteria
Description: bacterial SSU rRNA
Rfam family: Bacterial small subunit ribosomal RNA
Source: RNAcentral
GACGAACGCUGGCGGCGUGCCUGACACAUGCAAGUCGGACGGUUCUUGUACCUUCAAGCUUGCUUGUUGGUGCAAGGAUAGUGGCGGACGGGUGAGUAACGCGUGAACAUCUACCCAUUGGAGGGGGACAACCCGUCGAAAGGCGGGCUAAUACCGCGUAAGCCGCGAGGUGAGAGGCUGCCUAUUGGUGGCCGCCGAUGGAUGGGUUCGCGUCCUAUCAGCUGGUUGGUGGGGUAACGGCCUACCAAGGCGAAGACGGGUAGCCGGUCUGAGAGGAUGGCCGGCCACACUGGAACUGAGACACGGUCCAGACUCCUACGGGAGGCAGCAGUGAGGAAUAUUGCACAAUGGGCGAAAGCCUGAUGCAGCAACGCCGCGUGAGUGACGAAGGCCUUCGGGUUGUAAAGCUCUGUCGGGUGGGAAGAUGUGGUCCGGCUAACGACCGGAUUGUGACGGUACCAUCAAAGGAAGCACCGGCUAACUACCGUGCCAGCAGCCGCGGUAAA